This 402-nucleotide ribosomal RNA is filed under the name uncultured bacterium. RNAcentral's name for it is "bacterial SSU rRNA". It matches the Rfam family "Bacterial small subunit ribosomal RNA", at positions 355 to 774 of the family's 1533-position model. The record is from RNAcentral.
UGGGGAAUCUUAGACAAUGGGCGCAAGCCUGAUCUAUCCAUGCCGCGUGAGCGAUGAAGGCCUUAGGGUUGUAAAGCUCUUUCGUGGGGGAAGAUAAUGACUGUACCCCAAGAAGAAGCCCCGGCUAACUCCGUGCCAGCAGCCGCGGUAAUACGGAGGGGGCUAGCGUUGUUCGGAAUUACUGGGCGUAAAGCGCACGUAGGCGGAACAGAAAGUCAGAGGUGAAAUCCCAGGGCUCAACCUUGGAACUGCCUUUGAAACUCCUGUUCUUGAGGUCGAGAGAGGUGAGUGGAAUUCCGAGUGUAGAGGUGAAACUCGUAGAUAUUCGGAGGAACACCAGUGGCGAAGGCGGCUCACUGGCUCGAUACUGACGCUGAGGUGCGAAAGCGUGGGGAGCAAACA